AGAGUUUGAUCAUGGCUACAGAACGAACGCUGGCGGCAGGCUUAACACAUGCAAGUCGAACGGGUGUAGCAAUACAUCAGUGGCAGACGGGUGAGUAACACGUGGGAACCUUCCUAGGGGUACGGAACAACUCAGGGAAACUUGAGCUAAUACCGUAUACGUCCGUGAGGAGAAAGAUUUAUCGCCCUUAGACGGGCCCGCGUCGGAUUAGCUAGUUGGUGGGGUAACGGCCUACCAAGGCGACGAUCCGUAGCUGAUCUCAGAGGAUGAUCAGCCACACUGGGACUGAGACACGGCCCAGACUCCUACGGGAGGCAGCAGUGGGGAAUCUUGGACAAUGGGCGCAAGCCUGAUCCAGCCAUGCCGCGUGAGUGAAGAAGGUCUUCGGAUUGUAAAGCUCUUUUGCCAGGGACGAUAAUGACGGUACCUGGAGAAUAAGCCCCGGCAAACUUCGUG
Molecule: ribosomal RNA, 456 nt
Filed under: uncultured bacterium
Lineage: Bacteria
Description: bacterial SSU rRNA
Rfam family: Bacterial small subunit ribosomal RNA
Source: RNAcentral